Molecule: long non-coding RNA, 343 nt
Organism: Pygocentrus nattereri (red-bellied piranha)
Lineage: Eukaryota; Metazoa; Chordata; Actinopteri; Characiformes; Serrasalmidae
Exons: 3
Source: RefSeq, a predicted model, not a curated record
GGAGGACACCACUGGAGUGUCAUGCACACUCCCCUGACCCCUGGCCUGAGAUGCCAGCAGAUGGACACACCUGCAGAACUCCCGUUCAGAGCUGGUGUAGAAAAGCAAAAGAACACUCAAGGCCGUGCAUCAUCAUCCUCAUCCUCAUCCUCAUCGUCCCUGCACUUUCAAUGAGCUCCAUGUUUCACAGCAAGACGACGUUCUCUGGGGCUGGAGUUACACAGCGGGGAGAAAAGCGCUUCCCAUCCUGAAACCGGACCCUCCGGACCCUCUCUGCGCCGCGGCUGCUCUGCCAGCGUCCGCAGGAGCUCCGGGAUUAAAGCGCCGCCGCCGUCCAAUCAGA